AACGAACGCUGGCGGCAGGCUUAACACAUGCAAGUCGAACGGAUCCUUCGGGAUUAGUGGCAGACGGGUGAGUAACGCGUGGGAACGUACCCUUUGCUACGGAAUAACUCAGGGAAACUUGAGCUAAUACCGUAUGUGCCCUACGGGGGAAAGAUUUAUCGGCAAAGGAUCGGCCCGCGUUGGAUUAGCUAGUUGGUGGGGUAAUGGCCUACCAAGGCGACGAUCCAUAGCUGGUCUGAGAGGAUGAUCAGCCACACUGGGACUGAGACACGGCCCAGACUCCUACUGGAGGCAGCAGUGGGGAAUAUUGGACAAUGGGCGCAAGCCUGAUCCAGCCAUGCCGCGUGAGUGAUGAAGGUCUUAGGAUUGUAAAGCUCUUUCACCGGUGAAGAUAAUGACGGUAGCCGGAGAAGAAGCCCCGGCUAACUUCGUG
This 433-nucleotide ribosomal RNA is filed under the name uncultured bacterium. Its description in RNAcentral is "partial 16S ribosomal RNA". It matches the Rfam family "Bacterial small subunit ribosomal RNA", at positions 29 to 507 of the family's 1533-position model. The record is from RNAcentral.